CCUACGUGAGGCAGCAGUGGGGAAUAUUGCACAAUGGGGGGAACCCUGAUGCAGCGACGCCGCGUGGGUGAAGGAGUGCUUCGGCAUGUAAAGCCCUAUCGGCAGGGAAGAAGCAAGACGGUACCUGACUAAGAAGCCCCGGCCAACUACGUGCCAGCAGCCGCGGUAAUACGUCGGGGGCGAGCGUUAUCCGGAUUCACUGGGGGUAAAGGGAGCGUAGACGGCAAUGCAAGCCAGGGGUGAAAACCCGGGGCCCAAACCCGGGACUGCCCUUGGAACUGCAUGGCUUGAGUGCGGGAGGGGCAGGCGGAAUUCGUGGUGUAGCGGUGAAAUGCGUAGAUAUCAGGAGGAACACCGGCGGCGAAGGCGGCCUGCUGGACCGCGACUGACGUUGAGGCUCGAAAGCGUGGGGAGCGAACAGGAUUAGAUACCCUAGUAGUC
RNAcentral lists this ribosomal RNA (441 nucleotides) under uncultured bacterium. RNAcentral describes it as "partial 16S ribosomal RNA". It matches the Rfam family "Bacterial small subunit ribosomal RNA", at positions 338 to 795 of the family's 1533-position model. The record is from RNAcentral.